GUCGAACGGCAGCGCGGGGCAACUGGCGGCGAGUGGCGAACGGGUGAGUAAUAUAUCGGAACGUACCCUAGAGUGGGGGAUAACGUAGCGAAAGUUACGCUAAUACCGCAUACGAUCUAAGGAUGAAAGUGGGGGAUCGCAAGACCUCAUGCUCGUGGAGCGGCCGAUAUCUGAUUAGCUAGUUGGUAGGGUAAAAGCCUACCAAGGCAUCGAUCAGUAGCUGGUCUGAGAGGACGACCAGCCACACUGGAACUGAGACACGGUCCAGACUCCUACGGGAGGCAGCAGUGGGGAAUUUGGACAAUGGGCGAAAGCCUGAUCCAGCAAUGCCGCGUGAGUGAAGAAGGCCUUCGGGUUGUAAAGCUCUUUUGUCAGGGAAGAAACGGUGAAGGCUAAUAUCCUUUGCUAAUGACGGUACCUGAAGAAUAAGCACCGGCUAACUACGUGCCAGCAGCCGCGGUAAUACGUAGGGUGCAAGCGUUAAUCGGAAUUACUGGGCGUAAAGCGUGCGCAGGCGGUUUUGUAAGUCUGACGUGAAAUCCCCGGGCUCAACCUGGGAAUUGCGUUGGAGACUGCAAGGCUAGAAUCUGGCAGAGGGGGGUAGAAUUCCACGUGUAGCAGUGAAAUGCGUAGAUUGUGGAGGGAACACCGAUGGCGAAGGCAGCCCCUGGGCUUAAGAUUGACGCUCAUGCACGAAAAGCCG
RNAcentral lists this ribosomal RNA (703 nucleotides) under uncultured bacterium. Its description in RNAcentral is "bacterial SSU rRNA". It matches the Rfam family "Bacterial small subunit ribosomal RNA", at positions 61 to 763 of the family's 1533-position model. The record is from RNAcentral.